Molecule: small RNA, 118 nt
Filed under: Paenibacillus sp. IHBB 10380
Lineage: Bacteria; Bacillati; Bacillota; Bacilli; Caryophanales; Paenibacillaceae
Description: Bacillus sRNA ncr1015
Rfam family: Bacillus sRNA ncr1015
Source: Rfam by way of RNAcentral
UUGUAAGGUAGAUAAUUAUGUCCAUCAACAUUUUCAAAGUCGUGAUCCGAUUAUAUCAUCGAGUCUGUUUAUAUGCAAUAUACAAGAAUCUGAUAAAAAUUAUCAGGUUCUUUUUUGA